RNAcentral lists this ribosomal RNA (608 nucleotides) under uncultured bacterium. RNAcentral describes it as "bacterial SSU rRNA". It matches the Rfam family "Bacterial small subunit ribosomal RNA", at positions 69 to 652 of the family's 1533-position model. The record is from RNAcentral.
GAAAGCUCCCUUCGGGGAGUGAGUACAGUGGCGAACGGGUGAGUAACGCGUAGGAAACCUGCCCUGUAGCGGGGGAUAACAGUUCUAACGAGCUGCUAAUACCGCAUACGACCCCACUUCCUCAUGGAGGAGGGGUGAAAGAAGGCCUCUGAUUCAAGCUUUCACUACAGGAUGGUCCUGCGUCCCAUUAGCUUGUUGGUGGGGUAACGGCCCACCAAGGCCGCGAUGGGUAGCCGGCCUGAGAGGGUGUCCGGCCACACUGGGACUGAGAUACGGCCCAGACUCCUACGGGAGGCAGCAGUCGAGAAGCUUCGGCAAUGGGCGAAAGCCUGACCGAGCGACGCCGCGUGAGCGAUGAAGGUCCUACGGAUUGUAAAGCUCUGUCAGAUUGGGAAGAAAACUCGGGGGUUAAUACCCUCCGAGCCUGACGGUACCAUCAGAGGAAGCACCGGCUAACUCCGUGCCAGCAGCCGCGGUAAUACGGAGGGUGCAAGCGUUGUUCGGAUUCACUGGGUAUAAAGGGUGCGCAGGCGGGACAAUAAGUCAGAGGUGAAAUCUGCCGGCUUAACCGGCACACUGCCUCUGAAACUGUCGUUCUUGAGUCCGGA